Molecule: long non-coding RNA, 412 nt
Organism: Sarcophilus harrisii (Tasmanian devil)
Lineage: Eukaryota; Metazoa; Chordata; Mammalia; Dasyuromorphia; Dasyuridae
Exons: 2
Source: RefSeq, a predicted model, not a curated record
GCAACGUUAUGGGCCAGGAGACAAACAGCUCAACCGCUACAAGAACUCCAGGAGCUGCCAGGGGAAACUGUCGCCGCCGCCGUCGCCGCCGCUGCUGCCGUCGCCCAAUGGGGUGCGUUAUCUGCAUGAUGGAUUUUGUGUACGGGGACGCAAUCCGUUGCCUCCCUUGUCUACACAGCUACCACGUCCACUGCUUAGAUGACUGGUUUCUCUACUCUUUAUCGUGUCCCUGCUGCUUUGAGCCCGUAGAUCCGGCUUGGUUUUACUCUUGCUGUUAAGACCUGGAACGCGGCGGCCAUCAUGGCCCUGGUCUUCUUUAGACCAGAAGAACAUCACACCACAGAACAUCUUGCAAGCAGUCCGGCUUCAUUAACAUCAGGCAGCAAACCCAAAUAAACAGCAUUUACCAAAA